AGUGGACGGUGUGCGUAGUGUCCAUCUGCGUUUAGUGCCGUCUCUGGUCCGUGUCUUACAGGCUGUGAGACGGUUCUCACACCACACUCACAGCCACAGAUCCACUGGAGAUCAUAGUACUGGCCCAGUGACGUCUAAAUGACUAUCCACCACUGGCCAGCCUCCAUAGUCUCCUACAAAA
This 181-nucleotide small nucleolar RNA is filed under the name Carassius auratus (goldfish). RNAcentral's name for it is "Small nucleolar RNA SNORA23 (ENSCARG00000065627.1)". It matches the Rfam family "Small nucleolar RNA SNORA23". Rfam says of the family: The members of this family belong to the H/ACA class of snoRNAs which are thought to guide the sites of modification of uridines to pseudouridines. This family includes human snoRNA ACA23 (SNORA23) and mouse snoMBI-1. The record is from Rfam by way of RNAcentral. Lineage: Eukaryota; Metazoa; Chordata; Actinopteri; Cypriniformes; Cyprinidae.